GACGAACGCUGGCGGCGUGCUUAACACAUGCAAGUCGAACGGAAAGGCCCUGCUUUUGUGGGGUGCUCGAGUGGCGAACGGGUGAGUAACACGUGAGUAACCUGCCCUUGACUUUGGGAUAACUUCAGGAAACUGGGGCUAAUACCGGAUAGGAUCUCCUGCUGCAUGGUGGGGGUUGGAAAGUUUCGGCGGUUGGGGAUGGACUCGCGGCUUAUCAGCUUGUUUGUGGGGUAGUGGCUUACCAAGGCUUUGACGGGUAGCCGGCCUGAGAGGGUGACCGGCCACCAUGGGACUGAGAUACGGCGCAGAAUCCAACGGGAGGCAGCAGUGGGGAAUAUUGCACAAUGGGGGGAAGCCUGAUGCGGCAACGCCGCGUGCGGGAUGACGGCCUUCGGGUUGUAAACCGCUUUCGCCUGUGACGAAGCGUGAGUGACGGUAAUGGGUAAAGAAGCACCGGCUAACUACGUG
This 468-nucleotide ribosomal RNA is filed under the name uncultured bacterium. RNAcentral describes it as "partial 16S ribosomal RNA". It matches the Rfam family "Bacterial small subunit ribosomal RNA", at positions 28 to 507 of the family's 1533-position model. The record is from RNAcentral.